AAAAGUUGUAGUAAAAUGGAUCCCAAAAAUGAUUUACAGGAUAACAAUGCCUUAGCUGACUGAUGAAUACUUAAGAACAUGGCAUUCCAUAGUUGCAGAAGCUAUAACAAAGAUAAACUCUCUACAACCAUAAUAAUAAUUUUGUCAUUGAAAGUUAUAAAACUAAGUACCAAUUUCUACAAUUGAAGAACCUAAUUAAAUACCUUCUCAAACAGAAUCAACUACUUUUUAGAACACAAACCAAAAUGUAAUGUUAUCUACCAGAGAAAAUAGACAUAGUGGAUCCUAAAGAGUAAGUAGAGGUACAAUCAACAU
This 315-nucleotide long non-coding RNA is filed under the name Trifolium pratense (red clover). RNAcentral describes it as "long non-coding RNA (TPRA_LNC011231)". Lineage: Eukaryota; Viridiplantae; Streptophyta; Magnoliopsida; Fabales; Fabaceae. The record is from RNAcentral.